AUGGUUAAGUGACUAAGCGUACACGGUGGAUGCCUUGGCAGUCAGAGGCGAUGAAGGACGUAUUAACUUGCGAUAAGCCCAGAUUAGGUAGUAAAAACCAUUUGAGUCUGGGAUUUCCGAAUGGGGAAACCCACUUGCAUAAGCAAGUAUCCUGUUGUGAAUACAUAGCAGCAGGAGGCGAACCGGGGGAACUGAAACAUCUAAGUACCCCGAGGAAAAGAAAUCAACCGAGAUUCCGAAAGUAGCGGCGAGCGAAAUUGGACUAGCCCUUAAGCUUUAUAUGCGUUAGACGAACGGUCUGGAAAGUCCGGCGAUACAGGGUGAUAGCCCCGUAGUUGACAACGCACAUUCAGUGAAAUCGAGUAGGGCGGGACACGUGAUAUCCUGUCUGAAUAWKGGGGGACCAUCCUCCAAGGCUAAACUGACAUACUGACUGACCGAUAGUGAACCAGUA
This 454-nucleotide ribosomal RNA is filed under the name Vibrio rotiferianus CAIM 577 = LMG 21460. RNAcentral describes it as "bacterial LSU rRNA". It matches the Rfam family "Bacterial large subunit ribosomal RNA", at positions 1 to 500 of the family's 2925-position model. Lineage: Bacteria; Pseudomonadati; Pseudomonadota; Gammaproteobacteria; Vibrionales; Vibrionaceae. The record is from RNAcentral.